RNAcentral lists this long non-coding RNA (1081 nucleotides) under Sorghum bicolor (sorghum). RNAcentral describes it as "long non-coding RNA (SBIC_LNC011353)". The record is from RNAcentral. Lineage: Eukaryota; Viridiplantae; Streptophyta; Magnoliopsida; Poales; Poaceae.
GGAGAGCCUCCAGAUAUGUCUAUCAGGAAUGCCUUCCUGCAGCACCACAACUGCCAGAGUAUCCCACAGCUCCAGGUAUUCUAGCAAAGCUUCCAGGGAUAUUUCGCCUUGGAUAUCUUCCAGCCAUUUUCCAUUAUUCAGAGCAUCCAUAACUAUGCAUCUGUUCGCUCUUCGCUUAGACACAAGGGCAAAAACUCGGGGUGCUAAAUCUUUAAUGCUUCUGCCAUUCAGCCACUUAUCUUUCCAGAAUAAGGUAUUGGAUCCAUCUCCAAUUUCAGUAAUUAUGGUCAUAGACAGCAGGGCUUCCACUUCCUUGCUGACCUGAAGAGGUAGGUCUGCCCAAGACCGAUUAGGUUCAGAUUUCUUGAGCCACGGCGAUCUUGCUCUUAGGGCACAUCCCAAGAUUUCAAAUCUGAAAUGUCGAGUCCCCCAGUUCCUUGGAACGACAAACUUUGGGCCGAGCAAUGAGGCAGUGUCCUCCAUUUGCUUCCUUGUGUCCCUUCCACACAAAGGCUCUCCUAAUUCUAUCAAUGUCCUUUAUUGCCCAAGGUGGCACAUCAAUCGCCAUGGCCAGAUAUAUCAGCAUUGCUGUCAAGACAUAUUGUACCUGGACAGCCCUUCCAGCCUGUGUCAUUAGGUCAGCCUUCCAUCCUGGUAGUUGGUCAGCAAUUCUGUCAAUAAUUGGCUGGAAUUGUUCCUUUGUCAGUUUUUUAAGGGACAAUGGCAGCCCUAGGCAUUUGCAUAUGAAGUCUUGGAUUUCACAAGGCAGCAUACUCUCUAUGAGUGCCAUAUUCUCCUCAGAGCAUUGAAUUGGCACCACACUGCUCUUGUGCACAUUAGUCCUUAGACCGGAUGCUUCCCCAAAAAGCUGAAGGAUUCUCAAGGUUAAACUAAUAUCUUCUGCAGUUGGCCUGAGAAACAGAGAUACAUCAUCAGCAUACAAAGAGAUUCUAUGUUGGAUUGGCCUUCUAGACUAUGGUUGUAGCAAUCCCGCUUCAGAUGCCCUUGAGACCAACCAGUUCAGCACAUCCAUGACCAAAAUAAAGAGCAUAGGAGAAAGUGGAUCCCCCUGACGAAGCCC